CAUAGCUGUAAUUUACAGCUCUGUCACCGUUCUGUGCAGUGUGUACGAGUCAUCAUUGGCCUUUCAUCAGGAUCACCUCCCGAUCGAAUCAUGGUAUUCGAACUCUCCUGCCGGAGUCAUCAAGAGGAGCUGACUUUUGCAACAGCUAAUUAAAUUAAUAGAUUUUAUAUCAUUUCGUUGCGGUCACCAUAAUCAACAGCCUGUCAGGUUCGCUUCUGGCAAUUUCGUGAGACGCACAUUGCCCCUCUUUCCGCGGAGCAGCCUAUUAGCUCGACUCGCGAGCAUUAUUGGGUGAAAUAUGCACAUUGAUAGGAAGAGCUUUUUACAACGUGUCGAGAUACGUCAUUCGUGACCGACGUCGUGGCUUUUUUACGAAUCGACGAAUUUUCGAACGACCAUGCAAACGGUGAAAUUGAACCGUGUAAAAAAGUGAUGAAGGAAUACGAGGGACUUACGUGUCGUUUAACAAGGAUAUCGGUGAUCACCACUUUGACAGUGUCAUGAGAAAAGCCACGAGCUCGUAUACACUCCGUAUCGCCCAAAUGGCGAUACCACACUGACGAUCGUUCGCAGCAACGCUACUAGGCAAGCGUGCAACCAGGGGCGGCACUUGCGUUGUAAAAAGGACAUCGUUACCCUGAACUGAUAGCGAGCCCGAAUACUAGGCCGUCGAUGCUUUCUACGCUUUCCAAACACCGUGCACCAGAAAAUUCAACACCCACGAGGCACACGAUUUUCGGAACGUGGAUUUUGCUCAAAUUUGCUGUUAUCAAAGUAAACUUGAAAGAUUCGACUCGACUCGGGCGUUAGCUUUGCUAACCCAAAUGUAAAUUCGUGGAUUUGCAAAUCUUCGCAUGUGCGAAUCUUCAAAUUUCGCAAUUCUCAAAUAUAUAAAUCUUUGAAAGAAAAAGACAUCUUCAAAAUUCAAUUACAGUAAGCAUGGCAAUAUAAAGUCUACUAUUCAUUUACUAAUUACAAUUGAAAACUGAUUUUUUGCAUUUGCUAUUUCAAAGAGAAAGGUGUAUUUUUAUUUUGUAAAAGAUAAGUACUGAGUUGAGAAACACUUUGGUUGUAAUGUCCUAGAUAAUGGUCAAGUGUUCAUUUUUUUAAACGCAAUUCUACAGGGGUUGAAUUAAUUAUUCAGUUCAAGGAUAACGCCUGUAGUUCGAGUAGCACCUUGAACCAUUAGAACAUUGAAGGAAAUUAACAGACCUUUUUCAGAAAAAAAUUCCCUCGAUGAAACCAUAAAUGUGCAGCUACAAGAUCAAGAAUAAUUUUCUUUGUUAUAAAAAACUCUUUGAGUAGAAAAGAAAGCGAAAAGUCAAAACUUCAGGCAAAAAUUUAAUAUAUACAAACGAUAUUAGUAUUAAAAUAACAAGAUAAAUAUUCUAUUUCUUGUAGAAAGAAGUAGAAUAGUAAUUCUAUUUUAGUUCCAUUUUUUGUAGAAAGUGAAUUGAGUAAAAUAAGCGUGCAGAUUUCAUAGUUAUCCGUGACUGUGCAGAAGGUAGAUGAAAUUACGCCUUUUUUUAGCUACCAACUGGGAAGAUAAUUGCGUUACUGUUCUUUGCGAUUUUUACUAUGCAUACGCACACACACUCAACCUUUAUCAGCCUAGUGUAAUGAACUUAUCAUGCAUGCAUGUAUGUGUACGCACGUGUGUGACACGCGUAAACUCCCAGGUUUCAAUGCUGUUAAUAAUUCUGAAAUUUGAUUAUUUAGCCUUGCAUAAUGGAAUAGAGGAUCCUUUCAGUUUCGUCGGAUCGAUAACAGGAUUGUUCGCUGAAAAUUUGAACUAUAGUUUCAUCUACGUAUAUCUCAGACAAACGCAGGCGAUUCCCCCAUGGCAAUCAACAUGUUUGUCAACUUGAAUGGAAACUACGUCGAAGUUGGUCCGUCUCUGUCUGAAAUCCGGGAGUGUUCGAUUCGUUGACAAAACGAAUCGAUAAAGCUAUUAAUCCAGAGCAUCGAGUAGACGAGGAAAGAGUGGGCAAAACUAACAUGAUUAAGGAGGAACGUGUACCGUCCUCGGGAAUGGAUGGCCUCAUUGCAUAGACGUGGUUGCCUGCCAGCUGGAUCAAUAACUUUGUCAGGCUUAGCUGGAUGUUCGGGAAUGUGGAGGUGGAAAAACAGGGACGUAAGAAAGUUAUACGGACAUUUAGUCUAAAAAGAACUAAAAAGUCCAAAUAUAGACUUUCCUAUUAUUGACAUGCAUAAUAUAUUAUCAAAACUUGACAUGUCUUUAGAAAGUUUCUUAUUAAUCUAAGUAAUUACUUUAAUUUGUACAAUUCUUAAUGAAUUUCAUUAUGAAAUAAGUAAUUCUAUUCAUGACAAUAGAA
Molecule: unclassified non-coding RNA, 2336 nt
Filed under: Megachile rotundata (alfalfa leafcutting bee)
Lineage: Eukaryota; Metazoa; Arthropoda; Insecta; Hymenoptera; Megachilidae
Description: tigger transposable element-derived protein 1-like, transcript variant X1
Source: RNAcentral